RNAcentral lists this ribosomal RNA (468 nucleotides) under uncultured bacterium. RNAcentral's name for it is "partial 16S ribosomal RNA". It matches the Rfam family "Bacterial small subunit ribosomal RNA", at positions 28 to 507 of the family's 1533-position model. The record is from RNAcentral.
GACGAACGCUGGCGGCGUGCUUAACACAUGCAAGUCGAACGGAAAGGCCCUGCUUUUGUGGGGUGCUCGAGUGGCGAACGGGUGAGUAACACGUGAGUAACCUGCCCUUGACUUUGGGAUAACUUCAGGAAACUGGGGCUAAUACCGGAUAGGAGCUCCUGCUGCAUGGUGGGGGUUGGAAAGUUUCGGCGGUUGGGGAUGGACUCGCGGCUUAUCAGCUUGUUGGUGGGGUAGUGGCUUACCAAGGCUUUGACGGGUAGCCGGCCUGAGAGGGUGACCGGCCACAGUGGGACUGAGAUGCGGCACAGACUCCUACGGGACGCAGCAGUGGGGAAUAUUGCACAAUGGGCGGAAGCCUGAUGCAGCAACGCCGCGUGCGGGAUGACGGCCUUCGGGUUGUAAACCGCUUUCGCCUGUGACGAAGCGUGAGUGACGGUAAUGGGUAAAGAAGCACCGGCUAACUACGUG